Long non-coding RNA from Pseudoliparis swirei, 2535 nucleotides. RefSeq lists it as uncharacterized. NCBI's taxonomy places the organism in Eukaryota, Metazoa, Chordata, Actinopteri, Perciformes, Liparidae. The transcript is spliced from 3 exons. The record is from RefSeq and is a predicted model, not a curated record.
AAAUGGAAGGUUCGGAGUUCCUUCUAGAACAUGGAUGUUCCGUUCAGAGAGUCUCUCUCUCACUCAACCGCCUCACCAGUGAACACGGAGUUUUCUCUGGACGAAAAGCAACUCAACAAGCACCCAGUGAACAAUAGGAUCACAAAGAAGCUGGCCGGCCACUGCAGGGGACAGCUCUCUGGGUGACCUCCAUCGGCAAUGAGGUCGGCCAGAUACUGACCAGUGUCCUGACGGUGCAGGAGCGGCCGGGACUGGACCUGAUGGUCUCCGGAGUGUCUGUGUUGGAUGCGUACCCGAGAACUCGCAGGAAUACAGGACUGGUACCUCUGUAGUAUCCUUAAGAGAGGCAGUGGCCCCCGAGGGCCACCAGUAUGUACGAUUCCCGUCAACAUACUGUAGCCUUGUAUCCGGGUUGAGCUGGCGGGACUCGAGUGGAGUUGGCCGAACUUCACGUUGAUCCACAUCUCCGGUGGAUGACGAAUCUCAAAAAACGUGCACGGGUUCUUAUUUUCUCCUCCUCCCCCUUUAAGGUGGUGGAGGAGUCUGAGUCGCUUGCUCCUUGACCCCGAGCCAAUGAGCGGUUCAAUUGUGUUUAUAUUAGAAUAGAAUACAAUAGAAUAUAGAAUAGGUAGGUAGGUAUUCCUUUAUUAGUCCCACUGUGGGGAAAUUUAAAAAUCCCAAAAGUUUAGAAUGAAUUAUUUUGUAUGUGUUGCAUCUUCAAAUUCACUCUGAUUCUUCUUUCAGUUUUGUAAAUCACGCUUUGGUGGGUCAAAGUCGGCCUCACUAAAGCCACAUUUAGUGGCUAGGAGGACCCCCAGCCCUUCUCCUCCUCCUCCUUUCAUAUCCUCUGUGAGGACACCCAGCAGCCCUACUGGGAACUAUGGCAUUGCAGAAGAUGCUGGUGAGCCUGGAGGAGUUCAGCUAGCCGCUGCUGGGGCUGCAGCUUCAUUCUGGUUGCCGUCGGAGAUGAGAAAGACCCUCCCUGUGCAGGACCAGAGGUGGAUUGCCAACACCCUCUUAACGAUCUACAUUUGUGUCAGACAGGAAUUUUUAUGUACAGAUUUAUGAACAAUAAUCUGCCCCACAAUCUGUUACGUAUGUUCACAAGGAACACAAAUGUCUGCAACCACAACACGCGCCUGCGUGGCAUACAUAUUAAUAAACAUACAGUCGACAUUGUAUUUAAAAGCUUCAUCCGUAGAGGUCCAAAGCUCUGGAGCCAAAUUCCGGACGAGGUCAAAUCAGCAUCCACCACCAAGGCAUUUGGUUCUCGCCUUAAACGCCAUCUCACUUCACUUUAAAAGUUAUUAUUAUUGAUAUACAGCCUGGCGGCACAGUACAAUAGAGGAAAGAUAUUUGAAUUUUAUUUUAUAUACAUACCUUGAUGUUCUUGAUAUUAUUAUUUUUUCUAAGUUAUCAGUAGUUCACAUUUGCCUUUAUUAUUAUUUUUACUAUGUUUCUUUUUUAUUUUCUUUUUGUUUUUCCUGUUCUGGUUUUUUGUUGUUGUUGCUUGUACGACAUUUUAUGUUUUGAUCCAUGUGUGUGUGUACUGUCUGUGUGCCUGUCGUAGUUGGGAGGGGGGGGGCCGUCCAACUCCUCAUCGCAGAGGAGCCUACAGACCUCGGUCUUUGGACGGUCCUCCAUUCGUACAUUUUUGUUGUUAAUGUCUGUCAGUAUGAUGGCGGCACAAGCGUUUACCUGUCUGUUUGUCCUGUAAUUGAGUGUUUGUUUUUACUGUGUUUCAGUUCAGAUUUAUCCAAGAUACUACAUGAGCGGAAUGUGGCUUGGGCCAAGGCAAGGGGUUCUGGUCUGGAGUCAGAUUGGCUGCUUUUUAGGCAACUGCGCAAUGCUUGUACAGUUGCAAUUAAAAAAGCUAAAGCUGAGCAUUUUUUAAGUGAAACGUCAAACAACCUCAACAAUCCAAGACUGUUUUGGAGGACAAUAAAAUCUUUAUCUGGAAGUAGAAAUGGUAUUGAGCUUCCCGCUUGCAUUGUCAAGGACUCUAAUGACAUCUCUGACAAAGCCAUAAUGCUGGACUGCUUUAAUGAGCACUUCAUUGCCUCUGGUUCCCUGUUUGACACUCUAAACCAGGGGUAUUCAACUAAAAUGUUAAGAGGUCCAGUUAGAGAAAUUUUCUUGAAGCAAAAGUCCAGAAGAUCAUAAUGUCUAACUAUUUAGUGUGAUAUAUAUACAUACCUGCAAACUUGUCACCUUUCGAUGAAAUUCACCGUUUUGAACUCAAAAUAGGUCAUCCACGUGAAUCGUGGAGAUCCGAAGAGUUUUUUUGGGGGGGGUCACCUGGCCCGCUGCCGUUGAGAUUGCAGUGAGACGCGGAGAAAAGUGUGAAGUGUUGCUCUUCGCAAUAAAACAUCUUUGAUGGGACGUGUCGCGUCUCGGCCAAUCAGCGUUCAGAUGUCCACAGCGUUUGGGGGUUCAGGUUAGCUUGAAUGUUAGCCCGCUACAUCUACUCCUGUCACGCUGCACGGUGUAGCGAUGCUAACAAAGUACCCGUACAUUAAACACGAUGUGAUUUAG